This is a long non-coding RNA of Hyaena hyaena (striped hyena), 1045 nucleotides long. RefSeq lists it as uncharacterized. The transcript has 3 exons. The record is from RefSeq and is a predicted model, not a curated record. Lineage: Eukaryota; Metazoa; Chordata; Mammalia; Carnivora; Hyaenidae.
AAAGGCCAGACCCCUCACAAGUGGAAACUUCACAAGUGUUGUCGUCCGCAGCGACAUGGCAGGCGCGUCGUCCCGCCAGGGGCAGAGUCGUCCGAGGGAGGACACGCGUCCCGACGUCAGCGAAGGAGGCGUGCGGCUAUACGGUGACGCAGGAAACGCGGAAACACGGCGUCAGCGCUGCGCAGCCGAGUCCGGGGCAUCCGGGGCGGCGUCGGGUCCCGGGCCGGUAGGUGCGAGCCGCGGUCACACACGUGCUGGUACUUCACCGCCCUCCGGGCCUCUGAGACCGGCCCCGCGGCCCCGCACGGGGCAGGGGUCCUGAGCGCAGGCUCGCGCACGGCACACCCGGAGCACUUCCAGCCACCGCACCACGGGACGCCCGGGGAGGGGCCUCCGGGGCACUUCCGGCCACCGCACCACGGGACGCCCGGGGAGGGGCCUCGGCUCCCUCAGCGCUGAGGCCAGAGAGCGCCCUCCCGCCCGCGCACUCGGCUCCGCGUCACUUGUGCGACAGACGCAGGGCGGGGGUUGCGUGGUGGCCGGGCGACGGCGUGGCCAGGGUCCUGUAACAUCACCUGGACUUCUCAUCAACUUCUCCAGAACGUGUCUGCAGAAAGACAUCUCAAACCCCAGACACUGCUUACUAGACUCGAGAAGACUGGAAGUGAGACACGCCUAGGAGCCAAGUCUGCCCCAGACAAGGAAGAGUCAUGGACGAAUCUGAACUAGAACCUGGGCUUCCCACCGCCAAGCAAACAGUGGUCACCUGUCCACACCCCACCUCCAUUCACCCCUACAUCAGAAACUGGAUUCUCCAUCAACCAGACAGGGGAUACGAGUACCUUCCUGGCUUUCUUGCUAAUGAGGAGGAAGGAAAGAAAGCACCAGUAGGUUUAAUUCAGUAAACAGUUAAACCAAACUGAAUCCAUGUGUAAUUAAAAAAAAACAACGGGUUUGCCAAAGUUAACCAAAACCCUAACUAAAAACCGGUGACUCUACCCAAAGAAAAUGAAUAAUGCUUUAACAGAGGGCUGUUUCGUGAAGC